Molecule: long non-coding RNA, 1074 nt
Organism: Cynara cardunculus var. scolymus (artichoke)
Lineage: Eukaryota; Viridiplantae; Streptophyta; Magnoliopsida; Asterales; Asteraceae
Exons: 3
Source: RefSeq, a predicted model, not a curated record
UUAGCCCAACUUUGAACGGACUCUUAGUCCGCCUACAUCUUCAAUAUUGAACACUGUUGAUUGAACGGAGGAAGAAAUUGAAGGUUUCUCAAUCGGAUUGUUCAUCAUGGAGAUAAGAGGUAAACCGCACAAGACAUUAUAGGACUUCAAGUGGUAUUCAUCUUCACCGCUGACUGUUUAAUCGGAUUCCUUGAACGGAGAGGUACACCGGUCAAUUUCAGGUAAGGUUUAUUUGUCAAGCGGUAUUCAUCUUUCACCGGACAUGUUUCAAGCGGUAUUCAUCUACACCGGUCAUCACUUGACCGGAUUUCAUGCGGUGUUCAUCUACACCGGUCACCAUUUGACCGGAUUAGGGUUCUGAUCCAUUCAGCAGCAACUAAGCAGCAGCAACAGCAGGAUCUGUUUUGCAUUUUGUGCUGUGUUUGUGGUGUUUGAAGCAGUGAUGUUGUUUAUGCAGAUUCACAGUAACAGCUGUAGCUCCACAACAAGUUUAUCACAGCAGUUCAGCAGAUUGCAAAACAGCACAGGUUUCUGUUAUGUUCUGAUUGUGUGCAUACAGGUUUCUGUUCUGUUUUGUGUUGGUUGUCUGUGUUGUUUUUAAAACUACACAGCAGCAGAUUCUUAACAGCAGGUUCACAGUAUGCAGCAGCAGCAACAAGUUGUGAUCUUGACAGCAGCAGAUUAAGUAUACUGGCAAUUACAGCAACAGUGCAUAGAUCUGUCAUCUGGUUUGCAAAGAAAAGAAGAAGACUGCUUAAAGUCUGUUUAGAGUGUUGUUUAAGAGCUGCUUUGAGAUUUUGUAUUGCUUACAUUCGACUGAUUUGUAUUUUCACAGGUUUAUGCAGAUUUUGUAGUUACUUGGUAYAAACUUAACUGUCAAUUUUGGUGCAGGAAUCUGUCAAAAUCUGUUGGUGUGAAGACUGCAGUCGACAGCGAAAAAGAAAGCAGCAGUAGUACUUCAAAGUACAAUUUGAAAGGCUUUAAGGCAUAGCAAAGAUUGGGCAGUGAGGAGACUUAGUCAUAUACUGCAGUAGCUAACACAAUCACAGAUUGGCUUUGUGGAAUUAACAUCAA